AAGCGCCGGCUAACUACGUGCCAGCAGCCGCGGUAAUACGUAGGGCGCGAGCGUUGUCCGGAAUUAUUGGGCGUAAAGAGCUUGUAGGCGGUUUGUCGCGUCUGCUGUGAAAGGCCGGGGCUUAACUCCGUGUAUUGCAGUGGGUACGGGCAGACUAGAGUGCAGUAGGGGAGACUGGAAUUCCUGGUGUAGCGGUGGAAUGCGCAGAUAUCAGGAGGAACACCGAUGGCGAAGGCAGGUCUCUGGGCUGUAACUGACGCUGAGGAGCGAAAGCAUGGGGAGCGAACAGGAUUAGAUACCCUGGUAGUCCAUGCCGUAAACGUUGGGCACUAGGUGUGGGGACCAUUCCACGGUUUCCGCGCCGCAGCUAACGCAUUAAGUGCCCCGCCUGGGGAGUACGGCCGCAAGGCUAAAACUCAAAGGAAUUGACG
This 431-nucleotide ribosomal RNA is filed under the name Favella ehrenbergii. RNAcentral describes it as "partial Bacterial small subunit ribosomal RNA". It matches the Rfam family "Bacterial small subunit ribosomal RNA", at positions 488 to 915 of the family's 1533-position model. The record is from RNAcentral. Lineage: Eukaryota; Ciliophora; Spirotrichea; Tintinnida; Xystonellidae.